AAUUACAUACUAAGCAAGAAAAAUUACAAGGGAUAGACAAAUACAUACUUGGAGUUGAAUAACGAUUUACCAAAUAUCUCCGAAGCCUUUUCCCUUUGGUAAUCUACACAUAAAUUGAAAGACCCAUUAAAAUAAAUAAAAAUUAAAAAAAAAAACUUGAUAAUAUAAUUAGAAUUUGAGAAGAAAAAAAAACUCACGAG
This 200-nucleotide long non-coding RNA is filed under the name Prunus persica (peach). RNAcentral describes it as "long non-coding RNA (PPER_LNC004728)". The record is from RNAcentral. Lineage: Eukaryota; Viridiplantae; Streptophyta; Magnoliopsida; Rosales; Rosaceae.